CCGCUCACCAGCGCUCGGUCCCUCCGUGAGCAAGAGAAACAGGACUGGUUUGGGGGCGUCCCAUCUGAGUGGACCUGGGAAGCCACGGCUCUCAGUACAACA
Non-coding RNA from Delphinapterus leucas (beluga whale), 102 nucleotides. Ensembl annotates it as small Cajal body-specific RNA 23. Lineage: Eukaryota; Metazoa; Chordata; Mammalia; Artiodactyla; Monodontidae. The record is from Ensembl.